Suncus etruscus (white-toothed pygmy shrew) is the source of this 107-nucleotide small nuclear RNA. NCBI's taxonomy places the organism in Eukaryota, Metazoa, Chordata, Mammalia, Eulipotyphla, Soricidae. The record is from RefSeq and is a predicted model, not a curated record.
CUGCUCACUUCAGCAUCACAUAUAUUAAAAUUGGAACAAUACAGAGAGGAUUGGCAUAGUCCCUAUGCAAAAAUGACACGAAAAUUCAUGACAUGUGCCAUAUAAAA